GUGCCCCCUGGUUCACAUAGUUCAUGCUUCCUUUUUAGAGGCAUAGGUGUAAAACAGUAGAGUCUGUUUAAAGAGCAUCUGUUUGAAGUUUAAUGUAACUGAAUGAAGUCCACGCACCUGGUAAUGGAUGACUGGAUCUAGUUCAGAACAUCUGUGAACACAGAGGGAGUGGAAACUUCACUUUCAACAUCGUCAGCCAACUUCCCUCCCAUUACAAUUCUAUCGCAAGAUCAAGGUCAUGUGAGAAACCAGCAGAUAUAUCCUCACUACAAGGCUGAGUGUAAGCAGGCGAUAACCUCAAAUAUUAAACGAACAAAAAGAAGACCAUCUACAUGGAAUAUGACACCCUCAGAAACAUGGAACAUGAAACAGCUUCUCCAAGACUUCUUAUUUGGUAUGAAUAUGGCCACAUUUCACUAAGGCUAACGAAGAAUUCUGAGAUGAGCUUAGAAGAGAGAAAGUCACACACCUUAAGAUAUCAUUUGCCCACAAAUCAUACUUUGAGAAGUGGACAUGUUUAAUAUCACAGGAUUUAAGAGGGACAGACAUAGACAUUUUUACUUCUUUGCAUUUCAUUUCACAUUUUAUGUGCUACUUUAACACUGUAUCAGAAAAAUUAUCAGGUUUAUAUGAUCAUUGAGUUGUUCUUAAUAAACGCAUG
This is a long non-coding RNA of Callithrix jacchus (white-tufted-ear marmoset), 661 nucleotides long. RefSeq lists it as uncharacterized. The record is from RefSeq and is a predicted model, not a curated record. NCBI's taxonomy places the organism in Eukaryota, Metazoa, Chordata, Mammalia, Primates, Cebidae.